Molecule: ribosomal RNA, 450 nt
Filed under: uncultured organism
Description: partial 16S ribosomal RNA
Rfam family: Bacterial small subunit ribosomal RNA
Source: RNAcentral
UACACUCCUGCGGGAGGCAGCAGUGGGGAAUAUUGGACAAUGGGCGCAAGCCUGAUCCAGCCAUGCCGCGUGAGUGAUGAAGGCCCUAGGGUUGUAAAGCUCUUUCACCGGUGAAGAUAAUGACGGUAACCGGAGAAGAAGCCCCGGCUAACUUCGUGCCAGCAGCCGCGGUAAUACGAAGGGGGCUAGCGUUGUUCGGAUUUACUGGGCGUAAAGCGCACGUAGGCGGACUAUUAAGUCAGGGGUGAAUUCCCGGGGCUCAACCCCGGAACUGCCUUUGAUACUGGUAGUCUUGAGUUCGAGAGAGGUGAGUGGAAUUCCGAGUGUAGAGGUGAAAUUCGUAGAUAUUCGGAGGAACACCAGUGGCGAAGGCGGCUCACUGGCUCGAUACUGACGCUGAGGUGCGAAAGCGUGGGGAGCAAACAGGAUUAGAAACCCCAGUAGUCCCAU